GACGAACGCUGGCGGCGUGCCUAAUACAUGCAAGUUGAGCGCUGAAGGUUGGUACUUGUACCAACUGGAUGAGCAGCGAACGGGUGAGUAACGCGUGGGGAAUCUGCCUUUGAGCGGGGGACAACAUUUGGAAACGAAUGCUAAUACCGCAUAAAAACUUUAAACACAAGUUUUAAGUUUGAAAGAUGCAAUUGCAUCACUCAAAGAUGAUCCCGCGUUGUAUUAGCUAGUUGGUGAGGUAAAGGCUCACCAAGGCGAUGAUACAUAGCCGACCUGAGAGGGUGAGCGGCCACAUUGGGACUGAGACACGGCCCAAACUACUACGGGAGGCAGCAGUAGGGAAUCUUCGGCAAUGGACGAAAGUCUGACCGAGCAACGCCGCGUGAGUGAAGAAGGUUUUCGGAUCGUAAAACUCUGUUGGUAGAGAAGAACGUUGGUGAGAGUGGAAAGCUCAUCAAGUGACGGUAACUACCCAGAAAGGGACGGCUAACUACGUG
This 497-nucleotide ribosomal RNA is filed under the name uncultured bacterium. RNAcentral describes it as "partial 16S ribosomal RNA". It matches the Rfam family "Bacterial small subunit ribosomal RNA", at positions 28 to 507 of the family's 1533-position model. The record is from RNAcentral.